UACGUAGGGGGCAAGCGUUGUCCGGAUUUAUUGGGCGUAAAGAGCGUGUAGGCGGCUAAAUAGGUCCGUUGUGAAAACUCGAGGCUCAACCUCGAGAUGCCGAUGGAAACCAUUUGGCUAGAGUCCGGAAGAGGAGAGUGGAAUUCCCGGUGUAGCGGUGAAAUGCGCAGAUAUCGGGAGGAACACCGGUGGCGAAGGCGGCCUUCUGGACGGAUACUGACGCUGAGACGCGAAAGCGUGGGGAGCAAACAGG
RNAcentral lists this ribosomal RNA (253 nucleotides) under uncultured bacterium. RNAcentral's name for it is "partial 16S ribosomal RNA". It matches the Rfam family "Bacterial small subunit ribosomal RNA", at positions 524 to 776 of the family's 1533-position model. The record is from RNAcentral.